Long non-coding RNA from Danio aesculapii, 3537 nucleotides. RefSeq lists it as uncharacterized. The record is from RefSeq and is a predicted model, not a curated record. The transcript has 4 exons. Lineage: Eukaryota; Metazoa; Chordata; Actinopteri; Cypriniformes; Danionidae.
AAGACAUCGAAGAAGAAGCUCAGAGCUGUAUGUUAAAUUAUCUACAGCUGUUCAGCAUGAUUCCUCCUCAAAGCGAAUCCACAGAGGUAAAUAUGCCACUUUUCAAUGAUGCACCUUUACCAGACAUCAAAUUAUACUUGUUGACUUUGACAAGGGAUGUUUGUUCAUAUAUGAGGUGGCAUUUCCUCUGUGUUUUAAGGAGCGUUUGCUUAUGCAUUUGGUCUUUGUACAAGAUGUGGUUGACCAGAUUCAGCCUGAUACAACUUGGCUCAGUUGUGAUCGAUAUGGUUUCAUUGAUUGCAGUGUACAGACAACAUUGCUGCUCAGAAAAUCAGUGUAUCCUCUUUACAUUCAUAUUAUGGCUGUGUAAGGCUGGUUUCACCAUUGUUACCUUAGCUGAAGAGGGCACAGUUUUUAGUUUAGAAAGUCUCACUACAGCUGUGCUGCUGACAUCAGCCAUAAUUGACAUGAUUUCAGAUAUCAGAAGAGUCUGUACAAUAAAAGCUAACAAUAUCAUGACCGACAUACAAGGACCAGUUCACCACUGCCAAACUGUGGCAUGUACAAUAGAGGAAGAUGCGGAAGCCAGUGGCUAAAACAGAAAUCGAUACCCUGAGAGGAGUCUGGCUGUGCAGUGCAAUCUUGGCUGCAUCCAAUACUUUUUCUUGGUGUGACCUAACCCCACCCCUAAUCCUAUCACUCACAUUGACGUCAGUAGCUCCAUUGAAUGCAUUGUGUCUGACUUUGCUUCAUAAAGGCUGUAUCCACAUAAUAAUAGGCACACCGUAGGAAAAUCCAACUCAACACCACUGCAUAAUAAAUUCAGCAGACCCAUGAACCUGGUUUACACCCAAUUUGUGAGCCCGAAGAAGUGCCAUGACUUAAGGAUGUGAAAUUUGGAUACCAGUCCAACUUAUUUGCUAUUAGGCCAUGGCUUGCUUGCUUAUUCCAAAUUGUUUUAAUAAAAAACUUUUACUUAUAUUCUUUGUUGGGUUUUUAUUUACUCAAAUUAUUGUGACACCAAAAAAAAAAUGAUAAAAGUAACCCUAUAUUAACUCUCAAUUCCUUGUACAGGCAAGCAAUAUAUUCUAUUUCACCAGUUUAGUAUUGUAAUUUCUAACUGUGCUAUAAAAGGCUAUAAUGUUUUCUCUCUGGUGAAUGUUGUAUAGUAGUGAUGCUGUGUGCAUAUGUAAUAAAAAGUCGUGGUGACAAAGAGGGUCAGAUCCAAAUGCAGCUUAUUAAAGUUUAAUCAGGCUGGUGACGUUUAAAACAAACUGGAGCAUAUGAGUAAUAAAAAAUUGUGGUCAGAAUAACAGGCUGAAUGGUGGGGACAGGAGGCAAAAACAUCAGGCACAAUAAACAAAACUAGGGUCAAAAACACGGAAAGGUAAGAUGAGGAAAAUGCGUCGUAAUGCUAACAAAACAAAACAAGACUCAGUGUAGGGAAUUUAAAGAUUUGCAGGGAGGAACAGGCUUUCAGUGCUGUCAAUAAACAAAAUAAAAAACACAUUUAGGGCUUCUCUGCAGUAUAUAUCAAUGUCAAAUAGAUGUUCAAUAUUCUCACAUCGUCUGUUCUUUUGUUUUUAUAUCAAAUUCUUUAACGAGUGCCGAAGAUGACUGAGGAUGCUGAGGUGGCGCUCUGCUAUCCAGCUGCUUACGUUGUCUGUGACUGGCUGACGUCAACAGAGACCUAGACUACGCAUCUAAAACUAAACUAAUACUAAGAAUUAAUCAAAACAUACCGGCGAGUGCUUUAACCUACAGCAUAAAGAAGAAAUGCCUGUUCGCUUCUGUUCAUAUAAAGCUUAACUGGAAUCAGAAGACCAGGGAAAUUUGGAGACAGUCAAUGCUUCAGUUCAGCCUAAUCAGGCUCUCGGGUCCGUGCCGAACAGGAAAAAGCAAGGGAUUAUCGUAAAAGACGGAGAAAAAGAGAGGGAUCAAAUAGAAAAGGACUUGCAAAGGAAAAGCAGUGUUUCUGAUCAAGAUCAAAUCUCAGAAAUGUUCUUAGUGAAAUUAUACUACCUCCAAUACACAUGAGCUGCUAUUAAUUAUAUAAAAAACACUGCAUUUAAGCAUUAAUGAAGACACGAUGUUCAUACUGUUUGGCUAGAGGAGAACUGGUCCCCUGACUGAGUCUGGUUUCUCCCAAGGUUUUUUCUCCACUGUUUUUAUCUGGUGGAGUUUGGGUUCCUUGCCACUGUCGCCUUCUGGCUUGCUCAGUUGGGGUUUAAUAUUCAGUAUGAUCAGGGUUUGAAAUGAACUUGUCUCUCACUGGCCAAUUUGGCUAUUAAUAGAACUUCUAAUAGCCAAAACAAAUGAUCUAAAAAAAGAUCUGACAUGACCAGGCUACCAAAGUCAUUGAUUAAAAUAUGAAUGAUUAUUUCUGAAUCGCCCUCAGUUUUGCAACAAUCAUUGCAGAUACAAAAUUGUCUAUCAUUUCUCUUUAAAUUUUUACAGCAUUUCCUUGUAAAUUGCAAAUAUAGCUCACUUCAUAAUUAUCAAUGGUAAACAUGCUGAAAAUAAGUGGAGAGGCUGUUUACAAGAUCACCACUGAACACAAGCAUAUGGUGCACAAUGAAAUCUAAGUUAUUAGAGGUGUAUUUACACAUACUGUAGGUCUUAGACAUGCCAGCCUUUUCUCACGAGCAAUCGCAACUACUGUAUUUUACAUAUUGUUUGAAAAGUGGCUAAUUUGUACAAAUUCAUAUGGAUUAUUUUUAAAAUCCUACAUUUUCAUAUGAUAAAGGGGCCCCAAACCCCAACCCUCAUUGUGGAGUGAGCAAAUUGUACUAAAAUGUACAAAUUAGAUUGUACAAAUGAAUAUGAAUAAGCCAAUAAAUUAAAAAGUUACCUAUUGCUGUGAGAUUGUGUUGGACAUGGAGCAUUUACAAGGACAGGCUAAAAAAAACAGCUUUCUUAAUUGAAUCCUGGGGCUUCUGUUUUGUCGAUUUGUCCUUGUCAGAUUGUCUUCCCAUUCAGAAUUAUGUAGCACGUCUUGACCAAAUCCGAUUGUGCUACCAUUGUAAAUUGUGAUCUGCAGCAGUGUGAUAUAAGACUGUAAUAUCACCCUAAUUCCUAACCUCGACUUUAGAAGCAUUCACAUAGUGGGCAGCAUAUUCUGAUGGAAAGGAUAAAUCGGCAGGACACUGGUGUUGUGAUAAUUCAUGCUAUCCAUUGUAUUGUGCUUCAAACAUUAUAUGUAUGGUUCUAAUGUGGAAGGGCGCUGACAAUUAUUACAAACUGAUCAUAAAUGAACAUAAUUAUCAUAACCCACUACACUGGCCCGUGUGUUGAUAUGUGUUACCAACCUACAGUCAUCAUCUGCAUUUAGCGGAUUGGUUGAUGAUUUCAAGCAAUGCAAAACAUUGAAAUGUAAACAUAUUGGAUAUUUAUAUUGUAAAUAUAGUGAAUGUAUUUGAUAUUUAAUUCAUAAAAAUAUUCAUCUUUAUUGUAAAUAUUGCAAAUUUUACAUUGUAAAUAUUGUACAAAUAUUUAUUUUAUUGUAAAUAUAUUAGUAAAUACAUUUUCUUUUUCUUC